RNAcentral lists this ribosomal RNA (780 nucleotides) under Salmonella enterica subsp. enterica serovar Heidelberg. RNAcentral's name for it is "partial 23S ribosomal RNA". It matches the Rfam family "Bacterial large subunit ribosomal RNA", at positions 468 to 1248 of the family's 2925-position model. The record is from RNAcentral. Lineage: Bacteria; Pseudomonadati; Pseudomonadota; Gammaproteobacteria; Enterobacterales; Enterobacteriaceae.
AAAUACUCCUGACUGACCGAUAGUGAACCAGUACCGUGAGGGAAAGGCGAAAAGAACCCCGGCGAGGGGAGUGAAAAAGAACCUGAAACCGUGUACGUACAAGCAGUGGGAGCACCCUUUGGGGUGUGACUGCGUACCUUUUGUAUAAUGGGUCAGCGACUUAUAUUCUGUAGCAAGGUUAACCGUAUAGGGGAGCCGUAGGGAAACCGAGUCUUAACCGGGCGUUAAGUUGCAGGGUAUAGACCCGAAACCCGGUGAUCUAGCCAUGGGCAGGUUGAAGGUUGGGUAACACUAACUGGAGGACCGAACCGACUAAUGUUGAAAAAUUAGCGGAUGACCUGUGGCUGGGGGUGAAAGGCCAAUCAAACCGGGAGAUAGCUGGUUCUCCCCGAAAGCUAUUUAGGUAGCGCCUCGUGAAUUCAUCUCCGGGGGUAGAGCACUGUUUCGGCUAGGGGGCCAUCCCGGCUUACCAACCCGAUGCAAACUGCGAAUACCGGAGAAUGUUAUCACGGGAGACACACGGCGGGUGCUAACGUCCGUCGUGAAGAGGGAAACAACCCAGACCGCCAGCUAAGGUCCCAAAGUCAUGGUUAAGUGGGAAACGAUGUGGGAAGGCCCAGACAGCCAGGAUGUUGGCUUAGAAGCAGCCAUCAUUUAAAGAAAGCGUAAUAGCUCACUGGUCGAGUCGGCCUGCGCGGAAGAUGUAACGGGGCUAAACCAUGCACCGAAGCUGCGGCAGCGACGCUGAUGCGUUGUUGGGUAGGGGAGCGUUCUGUAAGC